GAUGAACGCUGGCGGCGUGCCUAAUACAUGCCAGUCGAGCGAACAGAUAAGGAGCUUGCUCCUUUGACGUUAGCGGCGGACGGGUGAGUAACACGUGGGUAACCUACCUAUAAGACUGGGAUAACUUCGGGAAACCGGAGCUAAUACCGGAUAAUAUUUCGAACCGCAUGGUUCGAUAGUGAAAGAUGGUUUUGCUAUCACUUAUAGAUGGACCCGCGCCGUAUUAGCUAGUUGGUAAGGUAACGGCUUACCAAGGCGACGAUACGUAGCCGACCUGAGAGGGUGAUCGGCCAAACUGGAACUGAGACACGGUCCAGACUCCUACGGGAGGCAGCAGUAGGGAAUCUUCCGCAAUGGGCGAAAGCCUGACGGAGCAACGCCGCGUGAGUGAUGAAGGUCUUCGGAUCGUAAAACUCUGUUAUUAGGGAAGAACAUACGUGUAAGUAACUGUGCACGUCUUGACGGUACCUAAUCAGAAAGCCACGGCUAACUACGUG
RNAcentral lists this ribosomal RNA (497 nucleotides) under uncultured bacterium. Its description in RNAcentral is "partial 16S ribosomal RNA". It matches the Rfam family "Bacterial small subunit ribosomal RNA", at positions 28 to 507 of the family's 1533-position model. The record is from RNAcentral.